RNAcentral lists this ribosomal RNA (512 nucleotides) under Vibrio sp. CAIM 930. RNAcentral describes it as "bacterial SSU rRNA". It matches the Rfam family "Bacterial small subunit ribosomal RNA", at positions 33 to 524 of the family's 1533-position model. Lineage: Bacteria; Pseudomonadati; Pseudomonadota; Gammaproteobacteria; Vibrionales; Vibrionaceae. The record is from RNAcentral.
ACGCUGGCGGCAGGCCUAACACAUGCAAGUCGAGCGGAAACGAGUUAUCUGAACCUUCGGGGAACGAUAACGGCGUCGAGCGGCGGACGGGUGAGUAAUGCCUAGGAAAUUGCCCUGAUGUGGGGGAUAACCAUUGGAAACGAUGGCUAAUACCGCAUAAUGCCUACGGGCCAAAGAGGGGGACCUUCGGGCCUCUCGCGUCAGGAUAUGCCUAGGUGGGAUUAGCUAGUUGGUGAGGUAAGGGCUCACCAAGGCGACGAUCCCUAGCUGGUCUGAGAGGAUGAUCAGCCACACUGGAACUGAGACACGGUCCAGACUCCUACGGGAGGCAGCAGUGGGGAAUAUUGCACAAUGGGCGCAAGCCUGAUGCAGCCAUGCCGCGUGUGUGAAGAAGGCCUUCGGGUUGUAAAGCACUUUCAGUCGUGAGGAAGGUAGUGGUGUUAAUAGCUUCAUCAUUUGACGUUAGCGACAGAAGAAGCACCGGCUAACUCCGUGCCAGCAGCCGCGGUAAU